GGUGAACGCUGGCGGUAGGCCUAACACAUGCAGGUCGAACGGCAGCACAGUAAGAGCUUGCUCUUACGGGUGGCGAGUGGCGGACGGGUGAGGAAUACAUCGGAAUCUACUUUUUCGUGGGGGAUAACGUAGGGAAACUUACGCUAAUACCGCAUACGACCUACGGGUGAAAGCAGGGGAUCUUCGGACCUUGCGCGAUUGAAUGAGCCGAUGUCGGAUUAGCUAGUUGGCGGGGUAAAGGCCCACCAAGGCGACGAUCCGUAGCUGGUCUGAGAGGAUGAUCAGCCACACUGGAACUGAGACACGGUCCAGACUCCUACGGGAGGCAGCAGUGGGGAAUAUUGGACAAUGGGCGCAAGCCUGAUCCAGCCAUACCGCGUGGGUGAAGAAGGCCUUCGGGUUGUAAAGCCCUUUUGUUGGGAAAGAAAAGCAGCAGGUUAAUACCCCGCUGUUCUGACGGUACCCAAAGAAUAAGCACCGGCUAACUUCGUG
Molecule: ribosomal RNA, 492 nt
Filed under: uncultured bacterium
Lineage: Bacteria
Description: partial 16S ribosomal RNA
Rfam family: Bacterial small subunit ribosomal RNA
Source: RNAcentral